RNAcentral lists this ribosomal RNA (590 nucleotides) under uncultured bacterium. Its description in RNAcentral is "bacterial SSU rRNA". It matches the Rfam family "Bacterial small subunit ribosomal RNA", at positions 338 to 942 of the family's 1533-position model. The record is from RNAcentral.
CCUACGGGAGGCAGCAGUAGGGAAUUUUCCGCAAUGGGCGAAAGCCUGACGGAGCAAUACCGCGUGAGGGAUGACGGCCUGUGGGUUGUAAACCUCUUUUCUCAAGGAAGAAGUUCUGACGGUACUUGAGGAAUAAGCAUCGGCUAACUCUGUGCCAGCAGCCGCGGUAAUACAGAGGAUGCAAGCGUUAUCCGGAAUCACUGGGCAUAAAGCGUCUGUAGGUUGUUUAGUAAGUCUGCUGUUAAAGACUGGGGCUUAACCCCAGAAAAGCAGUGGAAACUGCUAGACUCGAGUGUGGUAGAGGUAGAGGGAAUUCCUAGUGUAGCGGUGAAAUGCGUAGAUAUUAGGAAGAACACCAACGGCGAAGGCACUCUACUGGGCCAUAACUGACACUGAGAGACGACAGCUAGGGGAGCAAACGGGAUUAGAUACCCCGGUAGUCCUAGCCGUAAACGAUGGAUACUAGAUGUUGCACGUAUUAACCCGUGCAGUAUCGUAGCUAAGGCGUUAAGUAUCCCGCCUGGAAGUCGCUCGCAAGNGUGAAACUUAANGUAAUGUAGNGNGAGAGUUGCGAGNGCGACGAGGGAGAG